Molecule: transfer RNA, 62 nt
Filed under: Tympanocryptis pinguicolla
Lineage: Eukaryota; Metazoa; Chordata; Lepidosauria; Squamata; Agamidae
Description: tRNA-Tyr
Source: RNAcentral
AAGGUGGCUGAGAAUAGGCGGUGGGUUGUAAUUCCAUUUAUGAGGAGGUUCCUCUCUUUACA